AACACAACGGAAAAGAAUUUGACGGAUGGUGCAAUAGUCGGGAUAGCAAUUAGCAUUGUCACAGUGCUGAUUGUAGGCAUUCUCCUUUGCAUCUAUUGUUUGAAAAGACGAAGUCACUGCUGCUCCAAAAAGGAUGAACAGAACAGCGAGGUGGUCCAACCCGAUCAAGAAGAAUUGAACCUACUUGAGACAUCAGUUGACGGUUCCAAAGAUGGAAAUGCAGAAUCUUCAGACCCAACUGGACGACCAAAAGCAGCUGCUAAACGUUCAAAAAAUGAAGAAGGUGAGA
Molecule: long non-coding RNA, 289 nt
Organism: Strongylocentrotus purpuratus (purple sea urchin)
Lineage: Eukaryota; Metazoa; Echinodermata; Echinoidea; Camarodonta; Strongylocentrotidae
Exons: 4
Source: RefSeq, a predicted model, not a curated record